This 77-nucleotide transfer RNA is filed under the name Parcubacteria group bacterium SW_4_49_11. RNAcentral's name for it is "tRNA-Arg". It matches the Rfam family "tRNA". From Rfam's summary of the family: Transfer RNA (tRNA) molecules are approximately 80 nucleotides in length. Their secondary structure includes four short double-helical elements and three loops (D, anti-codon, and T loops). The record is from RNAcentral.
GUAUCCAUAGCUCAGUUGGAUAGAGCGCAGGUUUGCGGAACCUGAGGUCGGAGGUUCGAGUCCUCCUGGAUACACCU